RNAcentral lists this long non-coding RNA (1500 nucleotides) under Apteryx haastii (Great spotted kiwi). Its description in RNAcentral is "lncRNA (ENSAHAG00000018442.1)". Lineage: Eukaryota; Metazoa; Chordata; Aves; Apterygiformes; Apterygidae. The record is from RNAcentral.
AUGGUUCCUGCAUCCCAGCAUCAGGUAGUUGCAUCCUGGUAUGGGGCCUGCAUCCCAGUACAGGUACCUGCAUCCCAGCACUGGGGUCCUGCAUCCCAGCAUGGACACCUGCAUCCUGUUAUGGGGACCUGCAUCCUAGCAUGUGCACCUCCAUCCCAGUAUGUUACCUCCAUCCUGGUACCUGUGUCCCCGUAUGGUACAGGCAACCCAGUGUGGAUUCCUGCAUCACACUAUGGGUACCUGCAUCCCAGUACAGUACCUGCAUCCUGGUACGGGYACCUGCAUCCCAGUAGGGGUAUCAGCAUCCCUGUACAAGUACCAGCAUCCUGGAAUGGGUAUGAGUGUCUCUGUGCAAGCACCUGCAUCCCACCAUGGGUACCUACAGCCUGGUACAGGUACCCGCAUCCCAGCAUCAGGUACAUGGUGCACGUGGCAUGGUCACCUGCCAACGGGCAAGUUCACCUGCAUCCCGACACCAGGCAGCUGCAAACCUCUGGGAGCACAUCUGUCUCAGCACGGGCACCUCCCCUGGCACCGGGUAUCCAGUGGGUACCUCCCCCCRGCAUGGGUACCUGUAUCCCAGCGUGGCGAUCAGCAAACCAGUACAGGGUACAUGGGGCAUCCCAGGACUUCCACAAUGCAUCCCAGCCCUGGCACCUGCAUCCCAUCACUGGCUGCCUUCAGCCCGGGGUGGCUAUCUGCAUGGCGCACGGGCUACCUCCACGGGCUACCUCCCUCCCUGCAUGGGUGCCUGUGUCCCGCACAGGGUGCCAGCACCCUUUCGGGUGCCUGCCUCCCAGCGCAGGCUGCGUUGCCCCAGCCCAGCAGCAAGUGCCCGCACUCUGGCCUGCCUCGGGGUGGCCCUGGCUGGCAGCAGCAGCCUGGGUGCUCGUGUGCCCCCAUGUACCCUCUGUCCGCUCGCUCUUCGGCCAGUGCCAAGACUCCCUCGGCUCAGCCGGCAUCCUGGUGUGCCCCACAGCAGUGCCGGGAUGCCCUGGCCCCGGUACACCCUGCCGCCCACCACGCGCUCAGCACCCGCAGUUUGCCCUACAUUCCCCCCCUCCCUGGCGCACACAGGGGCACCCUUGGGGCAUCCUACACCUUCCUCAGGACUGGCAUGCGCCAAGGCACCCCCGGUCCCCCCUGCUGCUUGACAAGGCCCAGCAGCUCCUGAGCCCGGACCUCUCGCACGCAGCGGCUCCUCAGCCCCCGUGUCCCUGCGAGGCCCCCGCUCUGCRCCCGCUCCAGUGCGGCACGCACAGCCUGCCCUGGGACACCAGCGCUAUUAAUACUCCACCCUUGGGACCCCAGCCCCACUUAGACUCACCAGAGAGCACGGCACGUGCCRCCCACCUUGACAUCGCCUCUCCGUCCCCCACGGCUGCACCGGCCGGCUCCUGGGAGCGCGCAGCAGCUCUGGGCACCGCUCGCCACCGCGAUGCCCGCGGGCGGGCUCCCCGGAGCAAGGCCAAGGCACGCAGCUCGCCGCUGCUCCGCUGA